CCCUUAAGUUUCAGAAAGUUGCGAUUUUGGUCCCCUAUAUUUCAAAAUAGCACUUUUGGCCCCCUAAGUUUCAGAAAGUUGCAAUUUUGACCCCCUAUGUUUCAAAAUAGCACUUUUGGCCCCCAAAAUUUCAAAAAGUUGCUAUUUUGGCCUCCUAUGUUUCAAAAUAGCAAUUUUGGCCCCCUAUGUUUACCCCUUUUGCAAAAUGAAAGUUCAAGACACUUUUCUAAAUGGAAGUUCAAGACACUUUUCUAAAUCAAAAUGACAUAACAAAUCAAUUCAUUACAUAUAUGAAGUCAUUACAUAAUUAAAAAGACAUAACAAAAAACACGAAGAGUUUUCAAUUUCCAUUGUUUCCUAUUUUUGGAUUUGGAAUUAGGUUUUUUUUUUUUUUUACGUACAGUGAAAAAUC
RNAcentral lists this long non-coding RNA (412 nucleotides) under Trifolium pratense (red clover). RNAcentral describes it as "long non-coding RNA (TPRA_LNC013870)". The record is from RNAcentral. Lineage: Eukaryota; Viridiplantae; Streptophyta; Magnoliopsida; Fabales; Fabaceae.